Molecule: ribosomal RNA, 743 nt
Filed under: uncultured bacterium
Lineage: Bacteria
Description: bacterial SSU rRNA
Rfam family: Bacterial small subunit ribosomal RNA
Source: RNAcentral
AGCGGCGGAUGGGUGAGUAACACGUGGGGAACCUGCCCCUAAGUCUGGGAUACCAUUUGGAAACAGGUGCUAAUACCGGAUAAUAAAGCAGAUCGCAUGAUCAGCUUUUGAAAGGCGGCGUAAGCUGUCGCUAAGGGAUGGCCCCGCGGUGCAUUAGCUAGUUGGUAAGGUAACGGCUUACCAAGGCGACGAUGCAUAGCCGAGUUGAGAGACUGAUCGGCCACAUUGGGACUGAGACACGGCCCAAACUCCUACGGGAGGCAGCAGUAGGGAAUCUUCCACAAUGGACGCAAGUCUGAUGGAGCAACGCCGCGUGAGUGAAGAAGGUUUUCGGAUCGUAAAGCUCUGUUGUUGGUGAAGAAGGAUAGAGGUAGUAACUAGCCUUUAUUUGACGGUAAUCAACCAGAAAGUCACGGCUAACUACGUGCCAGCAGCCGCGGUAAUACGUAGGUGGCAAGCGUUGUCCGGAUUUAUUGGGCGUAAAGCGAGCGCAGGCGGAAAAAUAAGUCUAAUGUGAAAGCCCUCGGCUUAACCGAGGAACUGCAUCGGAAACUGUUUUUCUUGAGUGCAGAAGAGGAGAGUGGAACUCCAUGUGUAGCGGUGGAAUGCGUAGAUAUAUGGAAGAACACCAGUGGCGAAGGCGGCUCUCUGGUCUGCAACUGACGCUGAGGCUCGAAAGCAUGGGUAGCGAACAGGAUUAGAUACCCUGGUAGUCCAUGCCGUAAACGAUGAGUGCUAAGUGU